Esox lucius (northern pike) is the source of this 210-nucleotide long non-coding RNA. RefSeq lists it as uncharacterized. The record is from RefSeq and is a predicted model, not a curated record. NCBI's taxonomy places the organism in Eukaryota, Metazoa, Chordata, Actinopteri, Esociformes, Esocidae. The transcript is spliced from 3 exons.
UUGCUGGUUUUCUCCUGGUUGUUCUGCUGGUUCUUGUGUGUCAAUAUAAAAACAGCAAAGGUUCCUGUUGUAAUAGAACAUCCUUAUCUCCCCAGACCCAGAUCACCAACCAGGAUCCCCAGCAGGAUCUACUGCAGCAAGGUCAGUCCCUCAGACCAGAUCUCUGUCAUUCUCUAUCUGAAACCUCAUACACUGACUUGACAACAUUCA